UACAGAGGGGGCAAGCGUUAUUCGGAAUUAUUGGGCGUAAAGGGCGCGUAGGCGGCCUGACAAGUGGAAGGUGAAAUCCCUCGGCUUAACCGAGGAACUGCCCUCCAAACUGUUUGGCUUGAGACCGGGAGAGGUGAGUGGAAUUCCCAGUGUAGCGGUGAAAUGCGUAGAUAUUGGGAGGAACACCAGUGGCGAAGGCGGCUCACUGGACCGGUACUGACGCUGAGGCGCGAAAGCGUGGGUAGCAAACAGG
RNAcentral lists this ribosomal RNA (253 nucleotides) under uncultured bacterium. RNAcentral's name for it is "partial 16S ribosomal RNA". It matches the Rfam family "Bacterial small subunit ribosomal RNA", at positions 524 to 776 of the family's 1533-position model. The record is from RNAcentral.